Molecule: ribosomal RNA, 497 nt
Filed under: uncultured bacterium
Lineage: Bacteria
Description: partial 16S ribosomal RNA
Rfam family: Bacterial small subunit ribosomal RNA
Source: RNAcentral
GAUGAACGCUGGCGGCGUGCCUAAUACAUGCAAGUCGAGCGAACAGACGAGGAGCUUGCUCCUCUGACGUUAGCGGCGGACGGGUGAGUAACAUGUGGAUAACCUACCUAUAAGACUGGGAUAACUUCGGGAAACCGGAGCUAAUACCGGAUAAUAUAUUGAACCGCAUGGUUCAAUAGUGAAAGACGGUUUUGCUGUCACUUAUAGAUGGAUCCGCGCCGCAUUAGCUAGUUGGUAAGGUAACGGCUUACCAAGGCAACGAUGCGUAGCCGACCUGAGAGGGUGAUCGGCCACACUGGAACUGAGACACGGUCCAGACUCCUACGGGAGGCAGCAGUAGGGAAUCUUCCGCAAUGGGCGAAAGCUUGACGGAGCAACGCCGCGUGAGUGAUGAAGGUCUUCGGAUCGUAAAACUCUGUUAUUAGGGAAGAACAAAUGUGUAAGUAACUAUGCACGUCUUGACGGUACCUAAUCAGAAAGCCACGGCUAACUACGUG